GCUACAAGUGCUAGCUCUGGGAAGUUGAUGUGCUCUCGGUAUCUGUGUGGUGAAAAGCUGAGGCAGAAUGGUGACAUUAACAUUUAACGUCUUGGUUUUUAUUUGAGUAUAAUGUUAGUGUUCUGAUUGCUGUUAUGCAUUUUGUAUUUGCUCAACUUUUUAGUCCCACUUGGUUACUUUAGAGAGGGAAGCAUUUCUCUGCUGCACAUUUCCUGUUUCCUAGCAACAAGAGCAAUGUGGAAUCGGGGAUGGAAGAAAAAAAAAGACAAUUGGGCAUAGGGGGCUGGCCUUUUACAUAAAUAUUAUGUUUUUAUAGUAAUGAAUGAAACAUAUAUCAUCGGAUGCCUGCGUUACAUUGGUUCCGCUACAGCUACAUUUGCCUGCCUCUUCUAAUCGUAUAGAUCUGGCUCUCAACAUCCUCUGCUGUCCUACCUGCAUAGACUUCACUUGGACCUAAACUUCUUCUUCUUUUUUUUGUCAAGAAAGGCAUCUAAUGCAUUUCCCACCUUCACACUUCAUCGCAUGUCUGGUACACUUAAUUUUAUUCAAACAUUGUAAUGGCAGUGCAAGACCCUGGCAGAAUGACAGGUUUCCCCUGCAAAGAGUGUGGCAUGGUAUAUCCCAAUAUGCCUAGUCUGCUCGAGCACAUGGACGGCCACCUUCAAGAAGAGGAGGAGCGUAAAUUUAAAUGUGAUGAAUGUGGACGUGGCUAUAGACAUGCUGGUAGCCUGGCUAACCACAAAAAGACACACGAAGUUGGUUCUUUUCAAUGUGAAGUAUGUGGUAAAGAAAACUCUAAUGCUUUGUCACUGAAGAGCCACCUCCGCAGCCACACAUCACGGAAAAAGUACUCAUGUACAGAAUGUGGGAAAGGUUUUCGUCUGGCAUCACAGCUGGCAACGCAUGAGAGGGCUCAUCUUACCAGGCGAGCAAAGGGCCCUUCAUAUAGAAAGCUAGAUAUGGAAGAUUCCACUGAUGAACAACUUGAUAAAAUUGAAAAUGAUCACCCUCACAAUCUUAGGAGGCGUCCAUCCAGUGUCAGGAUUUCUACAGAAAAUAGUCCAGUUAAGGAUACGGCAGAGGUUUAUAAUUUGCAAGCGGAGUCCUCUGAUGAUGCUGGAAAUCGACCUUUCAGGUGUGACUUGUGUGACAAAUCAUACAUACAUCUUCGAAGCCUGAGCAAUCAUAAAAAGACUCAUCAGGUGGGGAAGUUUGAGUGCACAGUCUGUUUCAAACAGUUCAAUAACAUGGCUGCUCUCUACAGCCACCAGAGAACCCACAAGGGAAGAAGUGGGACAGACACUGGUUCUGUGGGUGUGUCAUACACAGGCACACCACAAGGCCAAUUUUCACCUCAGAGCCAGGAUGCUCCAGUAAAUUUCUGCCACUUAUGUCAGGUACAUUUUCCCAGUGAUGAGGAAUUCCAAGAACACAUCCAAAUGCAUAACUCUUCUUCUGUGUCAUUCGGACUGCAAGAUACCUUGUCAGACAACCCUCCUGUAUCAUAUGACAACAGCAUUGCGUCGCCUGAGUCCAACUUUUAUGCAUCUCCAGUCAAUAAUAUUCCUUCAGUAUCAUCAAUGGAUAAUGGCGGUUUUGAUCACUCACAGGAGCAGAUAAUAAGCAAUGGUCGUGAAUACUCGGACUGCUCCAAUAAUCAAACUCCAUCUUCCAGUAGCACUCAGGGAGAACCCCCAAUCAUUGACCCAAGCAUUCUCGAUCCUGUUCUGAUGCACACACGCAACACUGACAGUGCAACCGAAAUGGAGGAGUCUUUAACUGAUUCUGAUGAGCGUCCUUUCAAGUGUGAAACCUGUGGUAAGAGCUACCGCCACUCCGGGAGCCUCAUUAAUCACAAAAGGUCACAUCAGGUUGGCAUUUACCAGUGUUCCAUAUGCAGAAAGAGUUAUCCUCACCUAGCUGCCCUCAAAAGUCAUCUUCGUCUCCACAAAUCUCAGCCGUCAUCUUUUAGCCUCACUGCUGAGGGGGACUGGCUCUCCACAGAGCCGUUGACUCUGGAUAACCAGCAGGCCUGCUUCUCCUCACAUGAGGAGGUGGACAGCAUUCAGCCCAUGCUUGGUCUUGAUCAGAGGAAUGGAGUCGACCACAGCAACGUAUCGUUGUACCAUGAGCAGUUUAAUCAGGACUUUUCCCGAGAUAUGACGGUGCAUCUACCUCACAAUGAACACCUGAUGCAGAGGCACAUGUGUGCUGACUGUGGUGAGACAUUUGCCGAUAUUGCAGGGAUUAAGUCUCACAGUUGUCCCCUGCUGCAGCAGCAACACAACGCUACUAGCAGUGAAUAUGAGAGUCAUGUAAACUUCCAGGAUAGUAACAGUCACUAUUCCAUUGGCAAUCCAGAGACUAAUGUAGAUUUUCAAGGUCUAAAUGGUGGCCAUGACCAAAGUUACUUAGAUCAAAAUUUCCAUGAAAAUGUGAGCAGUUGUCCGAUAAAUGGUGGAGGAGCAGGUGAUGACACAGAAGAGGAGGAGGAGGAGGAGGAGGAGGAGGAUGAUGAUGGAGAACUUUAUCAAUGCUCCAUAUGUGGAAACAGCUACACCAGCAUGAGGGCUCUCAGGAGCCAUCUUCGAGGGCACACACAGUCCCACGGGACUCCUGCAAGCUCAGGGCCUUCAUCCAUGUCCUCACAUGAAGAAGCGAAGGAUGAAGAGUUGGGAGAGAUGAUGAUCUGUAGUACCUGUGGGGAAAGUUUUGCUAAUAGGCAGGACUUGAUUGUCCAUCAGCUUCUUCACAACAAAGACCUGGUAGACAAUGUUAGUGAUUUACAAAUGAACCACAACAAUGUGUCUGAAGGCACGGAGGAAGCGCAGAGCAUCAUCUGUGGCAGCUGUGGAGUUUUCUGCACCAGCUAUCAUCAUCUGGAGAACCAUGGGUGCACGACUCAGAGGAAAGUCGAGUCAACAAAUUGUGAAGAGGAUAUUAUGGCAAAAGACGUCGACCAGUUUGAAGAUACAAGUGGCGUUAAAGAAACAGGUGAUGCUGAAGAUCGCCAGUACAAGUGUGAUCAGUGUGGUCGGUCAUACAGACACGCCGGCUCCCUCCUUAACCACAAAAAGUCCCACAAAACUGGAGUAUUCAGAUGCCUUGUUUGCCAGAAACGUUUCUACAACUUGUUGGCCUUGAAAAACCAUCAGAGGUCCCACUUUGAUAUUAAGAGGCAUACUUGCCAAGAGUGUGGGAAAGCCUUCAAAAUCCAGAAGCAGCUAUUGAACCACCUGAGGAGGCACAAGGAGAACCAGGCCAAAAUCCAGGAACUUAACAACCAGAUCCAGGCCCUCAUGCAGAUGAAUGGGACCAGGUCAGAUGGAGGAAUGCAGCCCUUAACUUCAAAUUCCAAUCAGGCUUUAACUCCUACUCGCGGCUGCAAGCAGCAACCUGAAGAAGAAACUGCUGGAACAAACAAGACUUUAGUCAAAUCAGAAGACACCGAUGACCAACGUCCAUUUGCUUGUGAUCAGUGUGGUCGUACAUAUCGCCACGCAGGAAGUCUGGUCAACCACAGAAACUCCCAUAAGACAGGUGAAUAUUACUGUUCUGUUUGUAACAACUCCUACUCCAAUAAGCUAGCAAUGAAAAACCACAUGCGCACCCACUUUGCAUAUAAAAAACACUUGUGCCAAAAGUGUGGAAAAGGCUUUAGGGGGAAGAAGCAGCUAUUAGCUCACGUCUGUUCAACCCUCAGAAAGGAUGGGGCCAGAGGAAGGAGAGGACUAAGAUCUAAAGCCCUUAAGUGUAAGGAAUGUAAAAAGGGCUUUAUAUCUAUGAGCCAACUGACAACCCACACGUGCAUUAGACCUUCAGGUGGAAGUGACACCCAAACAAACACGUCUCAAAACAAAGAGGAGCGUCCUUUCAAAUGCAACAUCUGCAAUCGCAGCUACCGCCACGCCGGCUCACUCCUGAACCACAAAAACACCCACAAGACAGGACACUUCAGUUGUACCUUCUGCUCUAAACCGUUCACCAACCCCAUGGCUCUACGCAAUCACACGCGCAUCCACACGCAGAAGAAAAAGUUUGUGUGUCUCACUUGUGGAAAGGCCUUCCGCCUCGCCAGUAUCCUGCACAACCACCAGAGGGUCCACAACCGGGUGGCAAGUCACUUCAGCUGCCCUGCCUGUGGAAAGUGUUUCCAGGGGCGGUCUGGUCUGAAGAGGCAUCGCUGCCACAGAGGUCGGGGAAGCUCGACAAGAACUGGAGUCCAGCAAACGGAGAGAGGAGACAAGUGCUUUAUGUGUGACCUGUGUGGGCGCUCCUACCGUCACGCUGGCUCCCUACUCAACCAUAAAAAGACACACUCCGAAAACCUCCACCACUGUACCUUGUGUCUCCAGACAUUUCCAGACUCUCUUGCUCUACAGAUCCACUCUCAGAUGAAGCGCCAUUGCUGCCCCGAGUGCGGCAAGACCUUCUGUCUGGUGGCACACCUGCAGAGUCAUAUGGAGGUGCACUCAAAAGACCAAGCUGUAGAGUGCAGCCUCUGUCAGCAAAGCUUUCCCAACUCAGACAGUUACCAGCAGCACCACGAGAUGCACCACGGGGAGCAGGCCCCCUAUGAAGAGGAGGUGGAAGAACCCACAGAUGAUAAAUUCAACUGGGACUCAGGAAUAAAUCAGAACUUGGGCAUGGACGGUGUGCACAAACAGGUUCCACCGCCUCUGUCUCAUAUUCCAGGAAACGUCACCGACUCACAGAAAGGUAACGGCGCCGAGGAGAAGAGCCACGUCUGUGAGCACUGCGGCCGCACGUACCGCCACGCCGGCUCCCUGCUCAACCACAAGAACAGCCACAAGACGGGCUCCUUCUUCUGCUCCAUCUGCCAGAAAGAGUUCACCAACCUGAUGGCCCUCAAGAACCACCGCCGCAUCCACACGGAGCCCAAGCGCUACCAGUGCUUGGAGUGUGGGAAGGCGUUCCGCGUGUCCACUCAGCUCAUAUGUCACCGGAGGAUCCACACCAAAGAGAAGCCCUUCGCCUGCCUGCUGUGCGACAAGAGCUUUUCCAGCAAGUCCAACCUGCGGCACCAUCAGAAGCUGCACCAGAACACGCAGACGUACGAUUCCUGUCUUAGCUUGGACGCUGACACGUUUAUGGACCUGGACAUGGGCUCUUUCCUUUAAAGUAGUAUUCUGUUAUUUACAGUAUCUGACUAUCUGUAAUUGUAAAACAGUAGUGUUUUCCCCCCGUUUUCAAAGAUGCAUUUCCACUACUGACUCACACUCUUACCUCCACAACAGUUUAUUGGGCAUCUUUUAAUAAGGUUUGAAGUUUUUCCCCGGAGUAUAGGGCAGCUGAUGAAAAUGAACACGGCUCAUUCUUUGAUGACAAAAACGAAAUCAACCAAAGUGAGCAGAGAAGUGCAGCCCGAGUCCAUAUGUGACUUUCGAAGGAAAGUUAUUAAGUCAAAAAACCUCUGGGUGUGACCUAAGGUCAGUGGCAAAGUGAUUUUCUGAAAUUAUAUUACUACGUAAAUAGUCAUACUGCCUAAUGAUAUUCACCUAGAGUGACAUUGUAUGCUAAGAAAAAAAAGUAUUUAUUAAUUUAUUCCUGUUAUUUUUAUGUCCAUAUUUUAAUAGAAGCCCUUUUUAUGAAUGUUGUACAAAGAAACGAUCUUAUUAAAAUCCCGCGUAGUGUGUGAGGGACUUCCAUCAGUCCAAGAUUUCUAACUCUGUAGUUUGCGACAGGCAGGGAUGAAUGAGCCAAGGAUGGCGCGCGUCAUUGGCGCCGCUCAGGGUCAACCUUCAAAAGGAACAUACCUGAUGUGUAAAACAUGGUUUCCUUUUCUUUCUUUUAGUUGUGCCAUAUAAUUGACAUAUAGUCACUGCUGCACAUGCAGUGCGUGCGUCAGUUAUGUAGACAAGCCAGUGCCUAAACUGUAAACUGACUGUAGCAAUUCAAUGUAAACAAACCUCCUCCUCCUCUUCUUACUGUACCUGUUAUACUGUAAAACACCAUGUUCGGUCGUUUCUUUGUUUUUUGCUUUUGUUCUGAACAUUUUCAGUCACAAACGUUUAAAAAUAUAUCCAGCAGUUAACAACGAAAAUCAUGUCUUUGUCUUUCCAUUUACAAGUGCUGUGUGUGAGUCCAGGAGAAUAAUGAGGCAUUUGUACUUUCAAACAAAUACAGUAUGUGGCCUAAUUUCUGCUAAGCACAAACAUUACUGCCAACACACCAGAUCUUUUGUAGACUCACGAUAAUCCAGUUACAUCGUUUCUGUCAAAGUUCAUGAACGUUUCCCCUGUGACUUUUAUUCUGUUUUGGGCCAAAGUUGUAUACACUUUUCCUAGAUUUCCGUAU
This is an RNA transcript of Solea solea (common sole), 6318 nucleotides long. It is a transcript of the gene named zinc finger protein 646, with no coding region annotated. The transcript is spliced from 5 exons. The record is from RefSeq and is a predicted model, not a curated record. Lineage: Eukaryota; Metazoa; Chordata; Actinopteri; Pleuronectiformes; Soleidae.